This 249-nucleotide ribosomal RNA is filed under the name uncultured bacterium. Its description in RNAcentral is "partial 16S ribosomal RNA". It matches the Rfam family "Bacterial small subunit ribosomal RNA", at positions 524 to 776 of the family's 1533-position model. The record is from RNAcentral.
UACGGAGGUGCGAGCGUUAAUCGGAUUACUGGCGUAAAGCGUGCGUAGGCGGCUGAUUAAGUCGGAUGUGAAAUCCCUGAGCUUAACUUAGGAAUUGCAUUCGAUACUGGUCAGCUAGAGUAUGGGAGAGGAUGGUAGAAUUCCAGGUGUAGCGGUGAAAUGCGUAGAGAUCUGGAGGAAUACCGAUGGCGAAGGCAGCCAUCUGGUCUAAUACUGACGCUGAGGUACGAAGCAUGGGGAGCAAACAGG